GCGUGACUCGAACUCAGGACCUCCUGCUCUGAUACCAUGUGAAACAUCCGUUAUAUUCUAAAAGCUUAAGCUGUUAGAUAACGGUGUUUAAACAUUUUUAUAUUUAACACUCCCCCUCACGUCUGAGCGCGAAACUUUUCAAUCGGCCCAUGAUACCAUGUGAAACAACCGUUGUACUCUAAAAGCUUAAGUUUUUAGAGUACAACGGUUGUUUCAAGCUUUUAGAGUACAACGGUUGUUUCACAUGGUAUCAGAGCAGGAGAUCCUGAGUUCGAGUCACGCCAGACUCCUAGCAUAUUAAUUUCCUCCCAUUUAAUUCAAACCCACGUCAUGGGCCGACUAAAAAGUCUCGAGCCCAGACGUGAGGGGGAGUGUUAAAUAUAAAAGUGUUUAAACACCGUUCCCUAACAGCUUAAGCUUUUAGAGUACAACGGUUGUUUCACAUUAAAAAAGUCUCGAGCCCAGACGUGAGGGGGAGUGUUAAAUAUAAAAAUGUUUAAACAUCGUUAUCUAACAGCUUAAGCUUUUAGAGUACAACGGUUGUUUCACAUGGUAUCAAAGCAGGAGGUUCUGAGUUCGAGUCACGCCAGGCUCUUAGCAUAUUAAUUUCCUCCCAUUUAAUUCAAACCCACGUCAUGGGCCGACUAAAAAGUCUCAAGCCCAGACGUGAGGGAGAGUGUUAAAUAUAAAAUUAUAUAAACACCGUUCUCUAACAGCUUAAGCUUUUAGAGUACAACGGUUGUUUCACAUGAUAUCAGAGUAGGAGGUCCUGAGUUCGAGUCACGCCAGGCUCCUAACAUAUUAAUUUUCUUCCAUUUAAUUCAAGCCCACGUCAUGGGCCGAUUAAAAAAGUCUCGAGCCCAGACGUGGCUUUUAGAGUACAACGGUUGUUUCACAAGCAUGCCCCCUACGUUUCUAUUAAAUUA
This 926-nucleotide long non-coding RNA is filed under the name Ananas comosus (pineapple). RNAcentral describes it as "long non-coding RNA (ACOM_LNC015494)". Lineage: Eukaryota; Viridiplantae; Streptophyta; Magnoliopsida; Poales; Bromeliaceae. The record is from RNAcentral.